GAUGAACGCUGGCGGCGUGCCUAAUACAUGCAAGUCGAGCGAACGGACGAGAAGCUUGCGUCUCAGAUGUUAGCGGCGGACGGGUGAGUAACACGUGGAUAACCUACCUAUAAGACUGGGAUAACUUCGGGAAACCGGAGCUAAUACCGGAUGAUAUUUUGAACCGCAUGGUUCAAAAGUGAAAGACGGUCUUGCGGUCACUUAUAGAUGUAUCCGCGCUGCAUUAGCUAGUUGGUAAGGUAACGGCUUACCAAGGCAACGAUGCAUAGCCGACCUGAGAGGGAGAUCGAGCAGCUGGGAUGUGAGAAAGGGCCCAGACUCCUACGGGAGGAAGCAGUAGGGAAUCCUACGCAAUGGGCGAAAGCCGAACGGAGCAACGCGGCGGGAGCGCUGAAGCUCCUCGGAUCGGAAAGCUCUGUUAUUAGGGAAGAACAUAUGUGUAAGUCACUGUGCACAUAUUGACGGUACCUGAUCAGAAAGCCACGGCUAACUACGUG
RNAcentral lists this ribosomal RNA (497 nucleotides) under uncultured bacterium. RNAcentral's name for it is "partial 16S ribosomal RNA". It matches the Rfam family "Bacterial small subunit ribosomal RNA", at positions 28 to 507 of the family's 1533-position model. The record is from RNAcentral.